UACAGAGGUGGCUAGCGUUGUUCGGAUUCAUUGGGUGUAAAGGGUGCGUAGGCGGCUUGGAAAGUCAGAUGUGAAAUCCUAGAGCUUAACUCUAGAACUGCAUUUGAAACUUCCGAGCUUGAGUGCGAGAGAGGUGUAGGGAAUUCCCGGUGUAAGGGUGAAAUCUGCAGAGAUCGGGAGGAACACCAGUAGCGAAGGCGCUACACUGGCUCGCAACUGACGCUGAGUGCACGAAGGCGUGGGGAGCAAACGGG
Molecule: ribosomal RNA, 254 nt
Filed under: uncultured bacterium
Lineage: Bacteria
Description: partial 16S ribosomal RNA
Rfam family: Bacterial small subunit ribosomal RNA
Source: RNAcentral